This 2666-nucleotide long non-coding RNA is filed under the name Nicotiana tabacum (common tobacco). RNAcentral describes it as "long non-coding RNA (NTAB_LNC019080)". Lineage: Eukaryota; Viridiplantae; Streptophyta; Magnoliopsida; Solanales; Solanaceae. The record is from RNAcentral.
CCGUGUAAACACAUGGCUCAGAAGAUGUUGCAAAACAUUUCCCUGCCUUUGCUAGCUGAUCUGCUAUACGGUUUUGUUCUUUGUACGCAUGUUGGACGAUUGAUUGUUAAGCUAGUCGAGGAGGUACCUGGAGUCGUUCAACAUAUUGGCAAAUGAAAUAUUAUUAGUUUGUAACAUUGCAACAAUUUCUUUUGCAUCCACCUCGACUUCUAGUGGCUGCAAAUUAUAUUGAAAUACUAAUUUAAGUCAUGUAAUUAGAGCAUAUAAUUCUGCUGACAGUGACGAUCCUUUUUGUGUAGCUCCUGCAUACCCUAGGAUCCAUUCACCAUUUGAGUUUUGAAUCGUUCUUCCAAUACCAUCUGCUGUUGUAGCAUUAGCCCCAUUUGUAUUUAACUUGUAGUGAUUUUGUUUAGAAGGAUUCCGUCGAAGAUUAGCUGGAUGUUUUUUCUUAGGUUUAUGAUGGUAAGCAGUCAAGCAUGCAAAUUCAGUUGCUUGGUAGGUUGUGUCACACCUCCUAUUUAAUACACCCCGAAAAGGGUAUGUAUAAGGGAGUUUUUCCAAUUAAAUGACAAUCGAAAUGAGAUUUAUUUAUUAAAAGAUUCAGAGUCGCCACUUGGGAUGAUUUGUGGUGUCCCAAGUCACCGGUUCAAAUCCCGAUUCGAGGAAAAGAUUGACUUUGUAUUACUGUCCGCGAACACAGAAAUCCGAGUACUGAAUUUUGUUAACCUGGGAGAAGGUAUUAGGCAUUCCCGAGUUCCGUGGUUCUAGCACGGUCGCUCAACUGUUAUAUUCAGCUUAAUUAUCUGAUUUUUAACGAUUAUGAACCUAUGUGCAAAUUUUAACUUUUAACUGCUUUUAUUUAAUUUUUAAAGAAGAUUGAACGUCGUUUAAAACAUGUCUUUGGAUCGCGCCACAUGAAAUGCACCCGCAAUCCUAAACACAUUUUAGUCAAUGUUUUAAGAUUUUGAUUUGGGUCGCAUGAAAUGCACACCCGAAUUUAGGAAGGUAAUGUUAUUUAACGACGCGCCUAAAGCAGCUACGCGUUUUUAACUUUGCGAGGGCCAUGAAAAUUCGACUAAAUGACAUGUCUCGAUUUCUAAUUUCAAAGGAUUUUAUUAUUCGAAGUUGUUAUAAUCGGGCUACAUGAAAUGUACCCCCUGAAUUGAGAUUCACAUAUCGUUACCAUUCCACGAGAACAGUACCCAUAGCCACUAACCAAUCACGCCACUAUUAAACCCAACUUCUAUUAAUUCAAAUUAAAAAAAAAACAAGGCUUAACACUAGUAUUCACUGAUUAUUAAUUCAACUUUCAGAAAAAACAAAAUCAAUAAUCAAUAAAUUAAUGCCACAUGCUCAUAAUUCAAAGGCAAACUAUACGUUUCAUAAAAUCAAUAAAGCUAAAUUCAACCACAUUAUAACAAGAGCAUUAUUGCAAUUGAAAACAUCCAUGAGUUGAUAAACUUUGACAUGGAAACAAAAAGCAGCAGAUAUCUUACGAAGAAAGAAACAGAACCUCAGACGGAAGCCAAUGAAUGACGACAGACUCGAACUCGCCGGAACUCAAACUGAACCUCGCCGGCGACCACAAACAGACCUCAAACGUUGUCGGGGAAACCGAUUUUGCUGACGGACUCGAACUUAAAGAGUCGUUCAGCGGCUGAGGAAAUGGUUUCAGAUCGAGCUCCCAGCGGAAGAGGCUUCUUGUUUUAGUGAACAAGCAGGCUCCAAUAACUCCAUGGAAAUGGUUGGGAUCGAGCUUUUGGUUCUAGGUCUCUGUUAAGAAGCAGCCAUCGGUUUUGGGUCUUGUGUUUAGAACCUGAAGACGAAAGCAGAACGGGAGGUCAUUUUUGGUCGUCAAUGGCGUUGCUUGGUCUCUAGGGUUCGUCCAUUUUGUUCAAGGAAGACGAAGAGCUUCAGCUGUUGCUGGUUGAAGAAUACGACUUGUGAAGGGGUCAUGUGGUUGAAGAAAAGGAGCAGAACUGAUGGGGCGGGGUGUGUUCGAGAAGAUGAAGACUGGGAGAUGACGCAGCAGCGACUGGAAUGGCCGUUGGGUUCAGCUGCUUGGUGUCGUUCAGGUCUGGUUGGGAUGCAGAGAAGAUGGCAGACGGCUGUUUGGCGUAGCUAUUAUUCGUUGAUAGAGGUCCCUUCCUCUUUCGGUGAAGAUGGUUGAUGCUCGGGUGGCUGAAGGUCGUGUAUGGCUGCUGCUGCGUGUAAGUGAAGAAGAAGACCUAGGGGUCUGGCCGUUUGGUGUUCAGGCUGCUAUGGAGAUGGAGUUCUUGCUUAGGGUUUUUGUGUUAAGCCCUCAUGAAGAAGAAGGAUCGAGGGUCGUUUGGGGUGGGGGUCUGCGGAGAAGAUGAGGUUAGGGGGGUGGGUCUCGUGAAAACGGAGGAUUCCUUUUGGGCGCAGCUUUCUGCUUUUCCCUUCAGCGUUAUCUCUUUUUUUUUUUUGAUUUUUUUAAGCAUUAAUUUAUAGGUAAAGUCUAGGUUUAGGUGUAUUUUUGUGUAUUAGGUCCUUAGGGUCUUUUUGUUUAUUUUUAUUCCAAAGAAGAGUCUAGAAGGGUCCCUAGGUUUAAUGUAUUAAUCCGACUUUGGCCAAGAACUGGGUUCUAAAACUCUUAAAAUUAUGAUCCAACACCUUAAUCGACUUCUUUUAAAAUAAGAUAAAAA